This 23-nucleotide microRNA is filed under the name Lottia gigantea (owl limpet). RNAcentral describes it as "Lgi-Novel-2_3p (mature (guide))". The record is from RNAcentral. Lineage: Eukaryota; Metazoa; Mollusca; Gastropoda; Lottiidae.
ACAAACAUCACAUUUGUAAGGUU